Molecule: ribosomal RNA, 254 nt
Filed under: uncultured bacterium
Lineage: Bacteria
Description: partial 16S ribosomal RNA
Rfam family: Bacterial small subunit ribosomal RNA
Source: RNAcentral
UACAGAGGGUGCGAGCGUUGUCCGGAAUCAUUGGGCGUAAAGAGCUCGUAGGCGGUUCAGCAAGUCGGGUGUGAAACCUCCAGGCUCAACCUGGAGACGCCACCCGAUACUGCUGUGACUUGAGUCCGGUAGGGGACCACGGAAUUCCUGGUGUAGCGGUGAAAUGCGCAGAUAUCAGGAGGAACACCGGUGGCGAAGGCGGUGGUCUGGGCCGGAACUGACGCUGAGGAGCGAAAGCGUGGGGAGCGAACAGG